Long non-coding RNA from Anolis carolinensis (green anole), 1868 nucleotides. Lineage: Eukaryota; Metazoa; Chordata; Lepidosauria; Squamata; Anolidae. The record is from Ensembl.
UUUGGGGAGUCUCACAUCUGGUCUCAGAGUUAGCUUUCGGUUCUGAUUCCCAGAGAACUGCUUCGGCGGGAAAGCUAGACUCUAUUUAGGUGUUUUACCCGCGUAGUAACUUCGCGGAGUCAAUUCGUCAGCCUACGGAGCGAGUUGUGUCUGGACAGCGCGCUCCGAUUCAAGCCUCGCUCCUGCUCAAGCCUUGCCUAGCUAUCCAGCCUUCGCCUUGCUUCCCAGCCUUUGUUUAUCUACGGACUUUGCCUUGUUUCCCAGGAUCAAUCCUUGCCUUGUUCCACGGAUUUAUCAAGUUAUUCCACGGACCUUGUUCUUGUUCUUAGUUACCUUGUUCCACGUUCAAGCCUUGUUUCAAGUAUCAAGUUAUUUCCUAGCCUCGCUCAAGUUUCAUGGACUAAAGGACCUUGUCAUCUCCCCUCACUUUGCUUGGCAAAGUGAGUGUUUCGGUUAUUGGAUUACAACUUUGGACCUUAAUAUUUCUUAUUGGACAUUGCUUUUUUGGACUAAUUCUGACCUUUCCUGAAAGGUCUAAUUCUGGACUAUUUUCUACACUUGUUUUUAUUAACUUUAUAUAUUCCUACAAUAAAGAUAUUAGAUAGAUUCUGGCCUCUGUGUAUGGUUAUUGGUGCUCUGCAGCCUGGGUCGUGACAGGCCUGCAGUGGUCCAUGUUCAGCUUCAAGGAAAGCUAUCCCAGCCAGGAAGAAUCAAGUAGUUCAUCAUCUUCCUCUGAAUCAAGCAGCAGCAGCUCCAGCAGCUCCAGCAGCUCUAGUCCCAAAAGCAGCAGCUCCAGCCACAGAAGCAGCAGCUCCAGUCGCAAGAGAAGCAGCAGCUCCAGUAGCAGAAGCAGCAGCAGCUCCAGUAGCAGAAGCAGCAGUGAUUCAAGCCAGUCACAAAAAUCUCAAAACCGUCGAGAUGAGCUUACACCUUACUUCACUGUUGAGGCUCGGGCACAUAGGAGUGACAACAAAGAUCAGGGCUACAAUUUGUCCAUGUACAUGGAGCAUGAAAGCUACAAUUUCCAUAUCAAAAUGAUUGCAAAAGAGCUUGCCAAAACUAAGUGGAGAGCCUGUUUUGAUAGCCAGGUGUUACCUUACAAAUUCCAGGUAAAUAUUUUUCCCAUUUCUGGUUUUUGUUCAGUUUUUGCAAUUUGAAAUAUAUUUUCAGCAAUGUUUCCAAAAGUACACAAUUUUAUGAGAAUGAUCUUUUUAAAAAACAAAUCACACAAAAUAACAGCUGUAACAGCACAAAACAUAACACCACAAAAAGUAAGAUAUGAGUAAAUGACUGGUUUGGGGUUACAAAUCACUUCAGAGUGAAAGCCUCCUCAGUUCUUCCAAGUCAAUUGAAUUCAUGGCAGUAUCAGCAAUUCUCUGAAAUAUUUCAGAAAUAAGUAUAUUAGCAAACCUGAACUAUUCAUUAGUUCCUCAACAAUUAUAGAAGGAAGUAUUUUUGAGUUUGAGGAAGGAGGUAAAUCUGAAAUCUGACGCAAUCACCACUUGAAAUCGUUCAAACUGUAGUUUGGCAAAUCAUAACUGAUAUUAUAAUAAGAGGACAGGGAUUUUCUGCAAUUUAGGGUAGACAGAGUCCACAGUUACCUGUUGAAGGUAAUAAACUCAAUCCAAUUAUAGUAGAUAAAGUUACAAUAGACCUAGCUGUCAGUUGGAUUUACAUAAACAAUUGAUUUCAUGGGUCUACUCUAACAAUGGAAAGAUUUUAAAUGAAUACUCAAAAUUCCAAACAAAAGGGGUUUCCCAUGUGUCCAUAAUGAGGAAAAUCUUGGAUGGACAUUCAGGGCUCAUUCUACAUGAAAAGUAAGGGUUUUUCACAGAAAAAUGCAUUUUCUGCACAUAAAUGUUCUCUUC